UCGAGACGCUCGACUUAAUCCAAUGUGAUGAAGUGGGGAGGCCGUCCAGUCGUACGGACCCCAACGCGGGGCGGGUCGACAGACAGCGUAACUCAACCGACGGCUGCCCCGACCCGUCACCGGGACUCCGGUGUGACAGGCGUUCAUGUCCACGGACCCCUGGGAGCAGCCGCCAAGGAAAACAAAGAAAAUCAAUCGCUGCAUUUCGCCACACUGCUGCGUCUUCAUUCCUCCCGAGGCCUUCGCCACGCUGCCCUCUGACCCCUGGCAUCAGUCAUAGCGCUAGCCGAGUGUGACUGAGCCUCUGGUGGGUGGUAGCUGCCCUGAAGAUGGGCUGACAUCCUUCAUGUCCUGCCUCCCGCAUUAGCAUUCCUCAGCAUUCCUGGACUGGACUUGACAUGGUGUCAUGCUUCUGAGCACAAGUUCAACCAUGUCCAAGGUGCUUAUUUUCACCCACAAGAUCAUUUUCCUUCAUUACAAAAAUACACAGAGGUUGCAUUCCUAAAUAAGAGGUGGAAUAUCACACCACCCAGUGCCACAAGAGCAAAGACAAAUGCUUCACAGUAUGUAUUAACAGAAGUAAAAUAUAUUUUAAGUAUAUGUUAAGGAUUUAAAGGCUGUGUUUGGUUUUUGAAAGUGAUACAGAGGGCUUGUUGUUGAAAUAUGACUCAUGUCUGUGGAUAUGGAAAAAUGACAAUAGAGCAAAGUUCUCACUCUGCAGUGACGUUUACAACCGGUCAUAGGGCAGAGAUGAUGGGAAGCGUGAGCAAAGCAGAGGCGCAAAAGUGCCGCAGGUAAACAGAUCGGCGCUCCGGGGGGGAGCGGGCCGAGCCGACAGGGAAACGCACACGGCCCGCGACGGGGAGCGCGAGGCGGCCGCAUGAGUGCCGGCAUUCAGGAGAGCGGACGCCGCACAAGGCUCCACUGUGAGGAGACGGGCCGAGGGAGCGCGGCAGCUGUCUGCCGAGGCAGGACGCGAUGCGGCCGCCCCCAGCUGUCAGAGACGGGAGAAAUGGCCGAUUCACGUACAGGACAUUGGGCCAGUGUUCAGGGGCUGAUGGGACAUCAAAACAUGCAGCACGUAUAGAAGAUGUGUGUUCCUGAUGACAUACAUUAAGGAAACGACACAGAAGCACAUUUAUGAGCAAAUGGAUGUAUACUAUAUAAAAUACAUCCAGAUAUAGAAACUGAAUCAUAAUCUAUAUGUUGAGCUGAAAGCAAUAAAUAAAGCAAUAAAAAAAAGGAUGAAAAUGUA
RNAcentral lists this long non-coding RNA (1255 nucleotides) under Betta splendens (Siamese fighting fish). Its description in RNAcentral is "lncRNA (ENSBSLG00000016057.1)". Lineage: Eukaryota; Metazoa; Chordata; Actinopteri; Anabantiformes; Osphronemidae. The record is from RNAcentral.